RNAcentral lists this ribosomal RNA (581 nucleotides) under Suhomyces coccinellae. Its description in RNAcentral is "eukaryotic LSU rRNA". It matches the Rfam family "Eukaryotic large subunit ribosomal RNA", at positions 55 to 661 of the family's 3401-position model. The record is from RNAcentral. Lineage: Eukaryota; Fungi; Ascomycota; Pichiomycetes; Serinales; Debaryomycetaceae.
GGAAAAGAAACCAACCGGGAUUUUGCCUCAGUAACGGCGAGUGAAGCGGCAAAAGCUCAAAUUUGAAAUCUGGCCUCUGGUCCGAAUUGUAAUUUGAAGAAGCGACUCUGGUACCGGCCCUUGUCUAUGUUCCUUGGAACAGGACGUCACAGAGGGUGAGAAUCCCGUGCGAUGGGGAGUCCGGUGCUAUGUAGAGCGUUUUCGACGAGUCGAGUUGUUUGGGAAUGCAGCUCUAAGUGGGUGGUAAAUUCCAUCUAAAGCUAAAUACAGGCGAGAGACCGAUAGCGAACAAGUACUGUGAAGGAAAGAUGAAAAGAACUUUGAAAAGAGAGUGAAAAAGUACGUGAAAUUGUUGAAAGGGAAGGGCUUGGGAUCAGACUUUGUAUUUCCAUGGCGUUCUUUCGGGGGCGUCCUCUGGGUUUACGGGGCCAGCAUGGGUUCUGCGGGCAAGACAAGGGGGACAGGAACGUGGCUCUGCUUCGGCGGAGUGUUAUAGCCUGGCCUUUCGGUUGCCACGCGGGACUGAGGACUGCGAAUCUAGGAUGCUGGCAUAAUGAUCUUAAGCCGCCCGUCUUGAAACA